GCUGAACGCUAGCUACAGGCUUAACACAUGCAAGUCGAGGGACCGCCGCCCGGCUGAGUAACACGUAUCCAACCUGCCCUUUACCCGGGGAUAGCCUUGCGAAAGAAAGAUUAAUACACGAUAGAAUGGACGGAGAUGCGUUCCAUUAGGUUGUAGGUGAGGUAACGGCUCACCAAGCCUUCGAUGGAUAGGGGUUCUGAGAGGAAGGUCCCCGAGGUUGGAACUGAGACACGGACCAAACUCCUACGGGAGGCAGCGGUGAGGAAUAUUGGUCAAUGGGCGCUAGCCUGAACCAGCCAAGUAGCGUGAAGGAUGAAGGCUUAUGGGUCGUAAACUUCUUUUAUAUAAGAAUAUGUAUUAUAUGAAUAAGGAUCGGCUAACUCCGUGCCAGCAGCCGCGGUAAUAC
Molecule: ribosomal RNA, 406 nt
Filed under: uncultured bacterium
Lineage: Bacteria
Description: partial 16S ribosomal RNA
Rfam family: Bacterial small subunit ribosomal RNA
Source: RNAcentral